CCUACGGUGGGCAGCAGUGGGGAAUAUUGCACAAUGGGGGAAACCCUGAUGCAGCGACGCCGCGUGCGUGAAGAAGUAUUUCGGUACGUAAAGCUCUAUCAGCAGGGAAGACAAUGACGGUACCUGACUAAGAAGCCCCGGCUAACUACCUGCCAGCAGCCGCGGUGAUACGUAGGUGGCACGCGUUAUCCGGAUUGACUGGGGGUAAAGGGGGCGUAGACGGCAGCGCAAGUCGGGAGUGAAAUCCCAUGGCUUAACCAUGGAACUGCUUUGGAAACUGUGCAGCUAGAGUGCAGGAGAGGUAAGCGGAAUUACUAGUGUAGCGGUGAAAUGCGUAGAUAUUAGGAGGAACACCAGUGGCGAAGGCGGCUUACUGGACUGUAACUGACGUUGAGGCUCGAAAGCGUGGCGAGCAAACAGGAUUAGAUACCCCUGUAGUC
RNAcentral lists this ribosomal RNA (440 nucleotides) under uncultured bacterium. RNAcentral describes it as "partial 16S ribosomal RNA". It matches the Rfam family "Bacterial small subunit ribosomal RNA", at positions 338 to 795 of the family's 1533-position model. The record is from RNAcentral.